Molecule: transfer RNA, 79 nt
Filed under: Hadesarchaea archaeon
Lineage: Archaea; Methanobacteriati; Hadarchaeota (SeqCode); Hadarchaeia (SeqCode)
Description: tRNA-Tyr
Rfam family: tRNA
About the family: Transfer RNA (tRNA) molecules are approximately 80 nucleotides in length. Their secondary structure includes four short double-helical elements and three loops (D, anti-codon, and T loops). Further hydrogen bonds mediate the characteristic L-shaped molecular structure. tRNAs have two regions of fundamental functional importance: the anti-codon, which is responsible for specific mRNA codon recognition, and the 3' end, to which the tRNAs corresponding amino acid is attached (by aminoacyl-tRNA synthetases). tRNAs cope with the degeneracy of the genetic code in two manners: having more than one tRNA (with a specific anti-codon) for a particular amino acid; and 'wobble' base-pairing, i.e. permitting non-standard base-pairing at the 3rd anti-codon position.
Source: RNAcentral
CCCGCGGUAACUCAGUUUGGUAGAGUGGUCGGCUGUAGCCCGGGAUAUGUCGCCGGUUCAAAUCCGGCCCGCGGGACCA